AGUUGUCUGUCAGUUGUUUCUGAUUUGUCAUUUUCUAGCUCAUGUCUGUCACAGGCCAUCCUUCUCAACACAUAAUCCUCAAGUAGGGGUGUAGACAUUCCUGUUUUGUUAGACUAAGCAGGGUGGAGUAAAUCUAAAAUUCACAGAAUGAGUCAUCAUAUAAAUAAUACAUGUUGUCAUUUGCCUCCAUGGCCAUUGUUUAAUCAACAAAAAGCACAAACCUCCACCUCUUAACCAAAGACCAACAAUAAUAAGAAGCUGUCUUUAAUCGGAUGAUAUCCCAUCUUUUAGCCUAUGACAGUUCAUACACCCAACAGGAAUAAACAAUUUAUAGGAUGGUCAAAAUGGAGGUUCUAGGAACAUUAUUGAAUUGACAAGGAAAUGAAGAAAAUACAGCUCACUUGAUCCUAUCUAUAUGGCCAUCUCAGUCCUCUAAAAGAAACACCUGAAAAGAAGCAAGAUCUGAUAUGACAUGUAUAGCUGCCAAAUGCCAGACAAGAUGCACCUACGCCUUCCCAUUGACAGAUAUGUGGCUAAUAUUGCCUUCUGGGAAAAUCAUGGGUUACCCAGAAACUUGCCACAUCCUUCCUGUGUCCUUGUCAACACUACAAGGAGAGGAGCCGUCUUAGAAGAUUUGCUAAAAGGCAGAAGCAAUUUCACAGCAAUAGGGGGAAAAAUCUGACCUUUCCAUGCGCAGAAAAUCUCACUUAAGUAAAUAACCUUUUUAGCUGUAAAAUUUUGUUGAGACAUUCAUUUAUCAAAUGCACAGAUAAUCAGAAUGUUUAUCUCUUUUCUCCAUUUAAAAAUUACAUAAAAGGAGUGAAGCAUCACCAUGUGUGAAUAACAGCAAAGAGCUUCCAACAGAGGAACUCAGCACAUAUUAUCAAUUGGGGAGCCACUGAUCCUAGCAGCAGAAGAAUUAAUUACUGGAAUCCUUGUGCCUAUCACUAUUUUGCAUGCUUAAAUAAAACAGGAUUGGGUUCAUUUUAUUUUGUCA
This 997-nucleotide long non-coding RNA is filed under the name Monodelphis domestica (gray short-tailed opossum). Its description in RNAcentral is "lncRNA (ENSMODG00000037736.1)". The record is from RNAcentral. Lineage: Eukaryota; Metazoa; Chordata; Mammalia; Didelphimorphia; Didelphidae.